CGCAGAGUGACGGACAGGGCUAACGCCCUUUCCGGUAAUGCGGCUUAGAGCGGUCACAAGCCCCGC
RNAcentral lists this non-coding RNA (66 nucleotides) under unclassified sequences. The record is from RNAcentral.